Molecule: ribosomal RNA, 463 nt
Filed under: uncultured bacterium
Lineage: Bacteria
Description: partial 16S ribosomal RNA
Rfam family: Bacterial small subunit ribosomal RNA
Source: RNAcentral
GACGAACGCUGGCGGCGUGCUUAACACAUGCAAGUCGAACGGAAAGGCCUUUUCGGAGGUACUCGAGUGGCGAACGGGUGAGUAACACGUGGGUGAGCUGCCCUGCACUCUGGGAUAAGCCUGGGAAACUGGGUCUAAUACCGGAUAGGACCGCACUUUAGAGUGUGUGGGGGCAAGUUUUUUCGGUGUAGGAUGAGCCCGCGGCCUAUCAGCUUGUUGGUGGGGUAAUGGCCUACCAAGGCGGCGACGGGUAGCCGGACUGAGGGGUUGGGCGGCCACAUUGGGACUGAGAUACGGCCCAGGCUCCGACGGGAGGCAGCAGUGGGGAAGAUUGACCAAGGGGCGCCAGCCUGAUGCAGCGACGCCGCGUGGGGGAUGACGGCCUUCGGGUUGUAGACUCCUUGCGCCAGGGACGAAGCGUUUUGUGACGGUACCUGGAGAAGAAGCACCGGCUAACUACGUG